GGGCCCGCACAAGCAGCGGAGCAUGUGGUUUAAUUCGACGCAACGCGAAAAACCUUACCAAGACUUGACAUCGUAUGUCCGCAAUGGAAACAUUGCUUCUCUUCGGAGCAUGCAGACAGGUGGUGCAUGGUUGUCGUCAGCUCGUGUCGUGAGAUGUUCGGUUAAGUCCGAUAACGAGCGCAACCCUCAUUACUAGUUGCCAAUAUUAAGUUAGGAACUCUAGUGAUACUGCCGUGGAUAACACGGAGGAAGGUGGGGAUGACGUCAAAUCAUCAUGCCCCUUAUGUCUUGGGCUACACACGUGCUACAAUGGCUAUUACAAAGAGCUGCGAGCUCGCAAGAGCAAGCGAAUCUCAAAAAGAUAGUCUCAGUUCGGAUUGUGGGCUGCAACCCGCCCACAUGAAGUCGGAGUUGCUAGUAAUCCCGAAUCAGCAUGUCGGGGUGAAUGCGUUCCCGGGCCUU
This 462-nucleotide ribosomal RNA is filed under the name uncultured bacterium. RNAcentral's name for it is "bacterial SSU rRNA". It matches the Rfam family "Bacterial small subunit ribosomal RNA", at positions 917 to 1382 of the family's 1533-position model. The record is from RNAcentral.